This 403-nucleotide transfer-messenger RNA is filed under the name Bacteroidales. Its description in RNAcentral is "Egerieousia sp017935505 Standard tmRNA". It matches the Rfam family "transfer-messenger RNA". Rfam says of the family: Bacterial tmRNA, also known as 10Sa RNA or SsrA, is named for its dual tRNA and mRNA-like properties. Lineage: Bacteria; Pseudomonadati; Bacteroidota; Bacteroidia. The record is from RNAcentral. RNAcentral also lists the same sequence under 1 other name.
GGGGAUGUUUUGGUUUUGACAUCAAAUUAACUGGAAAGUAAGCAUGCCGAGAGUCGGAGGAAUGGCUCGUAAAUCUCAGCCUCCAAGCCUAUAGAUGGCAAUAACAACUAUGCACUCGCUGCGUAAUUAAGCCAAGCUUAAUCGCUUAAUCGCAUCGGCCAAGGCUGCCGGAGCGACGAGUAUCCCGCCGGUUCUUUAAGCCGACUAUGAACCGUGCAGAUGGGGUAUCAUCCAAGUCGGAUGCUGGCGUGGACUUCUCUAAAGCGCCCUAAGACUCAGAGAAUAAGAUUCGGGUAGCCCGUCUGCCGGCAGCCCGUUUCCGACAACCAAAGGCAGAAUAAGCAUGUAGAAAGCUUUGUGGUGGUUUGCUUGGACGGCGGUUCGAGUCCGCCCAUCUCCACGA